RNAcentral lists this ribosomal RNA (1211 nucleotides) under metagenome. RNAcentral's name for it is "bacterial SSU rRNA". It matches the Rfam family "Bacterial small subunit ribosomal RNA", at positions 36 to 1241 of the family's 1533-position model. The record is from RNAcentral.
CUGGCGGCAUGCCUUACACAUGCAGGUCGAACGGCAGCGCGGACUUCGGUCUGGCGGCGAGUGGCGAACGGGUGAGUAAUGCAUCGGAACGUACCUUUCAGUGGGGGAUAACGUAGCGAAAGUUACGCUAAUACCGCAUAUUCUGUGAGCAGGAAAGCAGGGGAUCGCAAGACCUUGCGCUGAUGGAGCGGCCGAUGUCAGAUUAGCUAGUUGGUGGGGUAAAGGCUCACCAAGGCGACGAUCUGUAGCGGGUCUUAGAGGAUGAUCCGCCACACUGGAACUGAGACACGGUCCAGACUCCUACGGGAGGCAGCAGUGGGGAAUUUUGGACAAUGGGCGCAAGCCUGAUCCAGCCAUGCCGCGUGAGUGAAGAAGGCCUUCGGGUUGUAAAGCUCUUUCGGCCGGGAAAAAAUCGCUUGGGUUAAUACCCUGAGUGGAUGAUGGUACCGGAAUAAGAAGCACCGGCUAACUACGUGCCAGCAGCCGCGGUAAUACGUAGGGUGCGAGCGUUAAUCGGAAUUACUGGGCGUAAAGCGUGCGCAGGCGGUUUUGUAAGACAGGCGUGAAAUCCCCGGGCUCAACCUGGGAACUGCGUUUGUGACUGCAAGGCUAGAGUAUGGCAGAGGGGGGUGGAAUUCCACGUGUAGCAGUGAAAUGCGUAGAGAUGUGGAGGAACACCAAUGGCGAAGGCAGCCCCCUGGGCCAAUACUGACGCUCAUGCACGAAAGCGUGGGGAGCAAACAGGAUUAGAUACCCUGGUAGUCCACGCCCUAAACGAUGUCAACUAGGUGUUGGGUGGGUAAAACCAUUUGGUACCGUAGCUAACGCGUGAAGUUGACCGCCUGGGGAGUACGGCCGCAAGGUUAAAACUCAAAGGAAUUGACGGGGACCCGCACAAGCGGUGGAUGAUGUGGAUUAAUUCGAUGCAACGCGAAAAACCUUACCUACCCUUGACAUGCCAGGAACUUGCCAGAGAUGGCUUGGUGCCCGAAAGGGAGCCUGGACACAGGUGCUGCAUGGCUGUCGUCAGCUCGUGUCGUGAGAUGUUGGGUUAAGUCCCGCAACGAGCGCAACCCUUGUCGUUAAUUGCCAUCAUUUAGUUGGGCACUUUAACGAGACUGCCGGUGACAAACCGGAGGAAGGUGGGGAUGACGUCAAGUCCUCAUGGCCCUUAUGGGUAGGGCUUCACACGUCAUACAAUGGUCGGUACG